UGUAUCUUUGUAUCCUGCAACUUAGCCCCUCUCAAAAUUGAAACUGGUAAGUCUUUUCAUCUCCUUUCCGGUAUCUGCUUCUUCUCUCUCGUGUUUAUUCUUCUUCUUUCCCAUUGAAUUUCUGUUUUUCAUUUUCUUAUUUUUGGGGAAUUCUUUCUCCAUUCCUUCUCUGUCCGUUUCACUGAUUUAUAGGUAAUGGACAUUUGGUAAAUGGGUAAUGAACUUGGUUCAAUCAGCAAUGAAAAUUGUGCAAAAAAAAUACUUUCUUAUGUUGGAUGGGUUCUUUGGUGAUGAAGUUUGUUUAAAAUUUGUGCAUGCAUGUCAAUGCUAUGUUUGCCCUUUAAUGUACUGAGGGUAUUCGAUAGUGUGCCUAAUUCAACUUUUUUUUUUCCUUCUUUAAUUGUGCAUUUAUAGAUAAGUAGUAAUUUCUAUUCUAUAUUUUAGAAGUCAUUCUUAAUGGUCAUACGGCUAAAAUGAUGAUUAAAAUUGAAGACCAGUAAUGUAGAGUAGGAGAAGUGCACGAGAGAGAAUAAGUUUGUGGAUAGCAUGUAUACAUGUUGACUUCUUUAAUAAAAAACUGGGAGGUGGCCUCUAUUUUGCAAAUUAUCCCUAAAAUUCAUCAUAUAUAUAGGAAUUUUUUGUGAGGCACUCAACAUUUUAAGUAUUUCUCGAGUUGUAACUUCUGAAAAGGAAAAGGAACUUUUGAUGUACAAAGUCCUAUUAUCGCGCUAUUUCUCUCUUAUUUCGGUUACUUCAUCGUUAUUGAGCUCACUAACUAUUGUUCUUGAACCAGUAAGGUUCAGUUGCCUGAGGUAAAUAAGACUUUGUUCAGCAGUAAUUUUAAAAGGCUCCAAAUACUGCCGCAACCAUACUCAGAAUGCAGUUCCACAUUGCUUCGUUAGGGUAAACAUUUGCGUGUUACUUUCUUUUUUAGUCUGCUAAAAACGAAUGUCUCUUUCUAAUUCACUAACUAUUAAAUUCUUCUACAUGACAUGUUUAAGACCACAAAGUUCAUAUGACUUUUGGUGUAUUACACGCAUAUUUAGUUUAAAAUCAUAAAAUUUGAAAGUCGUCCUUAUUUUCUUGAACUCCGCCUCCAGACAAGACAAACUAUGAUACAUAAAUAAAAAUGAUGGAUUAAUGAUUUUUGCCUUGUUUCACAUACAGAGUUUCUUUAUGUUCUUACUGAAUUUGCUUUGUACCUGAUACUGUUUUGCUUCUUUGUAGUGUUGGAUAUGUGCCUUUUACCUUCGCUUCAAGUAGUAGAAAUCGUACUAAAAAGCAAGCACACCUAAUAUGACAUUGAGAGGCUUCUGUUAAAUGAUUAGUUGGAGCUGAAUGCCCUAGAGUCGUAUCUUGUGUUCAUAUUAUCGCGUUGGUUGCUAGAGAUGCAUUUCUGAUUACAGCAAGUGAAAGCUCAAUAAAAUAAAUUAUGAACUUCUUGAACAACCUAAUUUUGUGUUAAUUAAGACCACUGAUAGUUUAUGAGAGGCAAUGAAAUGCGUCAAGCUCAGGAUGGUCUUUAAGUAUUCUGCCUUUUAUGUAUCUAAUUAUCUUCGUGUUUUUGUUGAUGUCGCUAGCAUGAUUGGAAGGUCCUUUUUGAAAUGUGUCAACCGAUAGAAGAAAUGUAACAAUAUCAAAUGUCUCAGAAGCCAUUGUUGACAUCCCAGUUCCAAAAGAUGUCAAAUUAUAAUUAUGUCCACCGACAAUAGAAGAUGCAGAUGAUCAUUCCAAAUCUAAUAUAGUGUAUGAGGAGAUCAUUCAAAAUGCAUUCACAUGAAAUCCUAACUUCUCUAUCAUUCGGAAGAAAAUCUACUAAACCAAAAAAGCCACCAAAUGUUUUCCAGUAAAAGCUAUUAGAAGACUCCGCACUACGUAACAAGGUUAGUGAAGCUUACACCCCAUUGUUAGAACUUAAAAUAGCACUUUUGAAGGAGUAGAACGAUUUUUUUUCAAAAUGAGAAAUCUUCAAGUUUUUAAAAUGUCUUGCCCAUAUAUUUGUCCGAUUAAAUAGAAUACUUACUUGAUUUUAAAGUUGAUUCAAAUUUUUUGUUUUAGGGUGAUAGAGGUCAAGAAUGAUGACACUCAUAGUAAAAGUUUGAUCUCAAAGUAUAUUUUCUAAUUUGUUGGUGUGAUUUAGUUCUUAAAUUGAGAAGUUUAAAGGUUCAUAGACCCUGACAUGAGUGCUACAAUAAAAAGUAUAUUUCCAUGUUGUUGGUAUUCUAUGUUAAUAGAAACUUCUCCCGCUGAGUUUACAGGUAGCUUCAUGUUCCCUAUCAAUAAAAAGGACUCAAUUGGAUAUGGUAGGUGAUUUACAUGAUCUAUAAUGAUAUUUAGUGGAAAUCAGUUUUCUCUUCUUUCACACAUAAAUGAUUGUGUCUUGAGGGGACAAGCUAAUUUCUUAAAUCAUUAUUGCCGUGUAAAUAUUUGUCACCUGAAUGAUUCUAAUUGAAAUAAAGCAGCAUUGUUGGUAAAAUAAAACUUUAACACUGCAACAAAGAGUAGUACAAAUAGUAGCCUAAAGUGUAUAAACAAGAUCAUUUUUGGAGAUAUUUUUAAUUCACUUGCAGCUCUUCCACGAUGACAUCUGUUAACAGGCGUGGAGUGGAGUGAGCAACAACUAAUUGUCUUUGUAGUUUCAUGUUGUUAGUGUUUUGUGGUGAUAGAAACUUCUCCUCUCAAGUUUGGAGGUUAGCUUCAUGUUCCCUAUCGAUGAAAAAGACUCAAUCAAUUAUUCACGUGGAUCAAAAAUUUGUACCAUAUGCAUUACCGAUAAUAUGGACGAACAAGUGCAUUGUUAUAAUUUUAUAGGAACGAGAUGUGUUAAACUUGAUUCUUCUCAGAAAGUCACAUGUAUUUACUUGAAACACGUGUCUCGCCACCUUUUCCUUUGAUGUUUAAUCUCUCUCUCACUCAAUAUCCAUCUUUUCAGAAGAAAAACUUAUAUGGAGCUUUGAAUUUCUUCGGUAUAUGUUUGUUUCUGGUUACAUGUCCAUGCAUUUUCAGAUUUUCGUUAUUCACUUCCUCCCUGAUUUUCUAUUAUUUUAUGCCCGUAUUCUUCUUCAGACCUAGAUUCCCAAUCUCGAGAUAUUAUCUCCCUUCAUCUAAAAUUUCUGAAGGAGUGGAUUCUUUCGCAUAAUACUAAAAAAAUUAGUAGUUUUACGGUUGAGUUUGUUCUUUAAUCUCUUUUUGAUUUUUUUUAAACUAAAAGCCUCUAACUACUGGAUCAAGCGCACUGGUAAUGGACUGACAGUAAGAUUUUCCCCUCUAUUUGUUAGUAUAACUUAUACAUUCAUUAUACAUAGUUUGUUUUUUAUUUACCAAUUAAUUCCUUUUAAGCUUCCUAUUUAUUUUGCUUUCUUUUGAUAAGAUUCUCAGGUUGAGGUUUGAUGCUAUCUCUGUUAUGAUAGAAACGUGCAAAUGCAAUUCCAUAUAUAAAUAAGCUGGUGACCUUUUUUUUCAAAAGGUAUCUUUAUUCCUUCUGUGUUUCUCCUUCUUAAUGUAUUCCGUUAAAUUUGAUAAAUUUUUCUUAUGUUUUCUUGAGAUACACGUCGUUUGAAGAUUUCCACUUUUAUGAAAUUAUUUUAAUAAUAGCUGGAUAGAGGGCUCCGGGUUAUACUAAUAUUAAGUUAGCUAUUUUUAUGAGUAGAAUUUCACAUUUGAUUAAUUGACUGAAUAUGUUUUCUAUCAUGUUAGAUAUACCAAAAUACUUUGUCAUGUAAGGCUCAACUAUCCAAAGAAAGAGGGACAUCAAAAGAAAAGGAAAAAAAAAGAUCUGCUUGAAUUUGAAGGUUAAUGGGAACCACCAAUAUUUGUGCAAUGAUAUGAUUGUAUAUAUCUUGAAAUCAAAUAGCUUAAGCAAUAGGAUGGAACAUAUCAUACUUGAUAGUACUUCCUCUUAGAAUUGCUCAGACUGUUUCAAAACUUAGCUAAAGUUUUCUCAGUAGUGUUAUAAUAAUUUUUGAUACAUUGAACUCACAAAGUGUAGUGGAACUUCAUUAUUAGUUUUAAUAUCUAAAUCAAGGAUAUAUUUAAUUGAUACUGAACAAAACAUGUUGAUUAAAUAUACGUUGAGCAACUUUAUACGUCUACAGUAAACAUAGAAAACUCUUUUGUGCUAAAUAAACUAUUUACUGAAGGUCGUUAGUUUGUAC
Molecule: long non-coding RNA, 4154 nt
Filed under: Solanum tuberosum (potato)
Lineage: Eukaryota; Viridiplantae; Streptophyta; Magnoliopsida; Solanales; Solanaceae
Description: long non-coding RNA (STUB_LNC002573)
Source: RNAcentral